RNAcentral lists this transfer RNA (69 nucleotides) under Epicrionops cf. marmoratus UMMZ 190478. RNAcentral describes it as "tRNA-Glu". It matches the Rfam family "tRNA". From Rfam's summary of the family: Transfer RNA (tRNA) molecules are approximately 80 nucleotides in length. Their secondary structure includes four short double-helical elements and three loops (D, anti-codon, and T loops). The record is from RNAcentral. Lineage: Eukaryota; Metazoa; Chordata; Amphibia; Gymnophiona; Rhinatrematidae.
GUUUUUAUAGUUGAAUAACAACGGUGGUUUUUCAGAUCAUGGGUUCUGGUUCAAGUCCGGAUAAAAAUA